CCUACGGGCGGCAGCAGUGAGGAAUAUUGGUCAAUGGACGAGAGUCUGAACCAGCCAAGUAGCGUGAAGGAUGACUGCCCUAUGGGUUGUAAACUUCUUUUAUAAAGGAAUAAAACGAGGCACGUGUGCCUUUUUGCAUGUACUUUAUGAAUAAGGAUCGGCUAACUCCGUGCCAGCAGCCGCGGUAAUACGGAGGAUCCGAGCGUUAUCCGGAUUUAUUGGGUUUAAAGGGAGCGUAGAUGGGUUGUUAAGUCAGUUGUGAAAGUUUGCGGCUCAACCGUAAAAUUGCAAUUGAUACUGGAAGUCUUGAGUACAGUUGAGGUAGGCGGAAUGCGUGGUGUAGCGGUGAAAUGCUUAGAUAUAACGAAGAACCCCGAUUGCGAAGGCAGCUUACUAGACUGUGACUGACAUUGAUGCUCGAAAGUGUGGGUAUCAAACAGGAUUAGAUACCCCGGUAGUC
RNAcentral lists this ribosomal RNA (460 nucleotides) under uncultured bacterium. RNAcentral describes it as "partial 16S ribosomal RNA". It matches the Rfam family "Bacterial small subunit ribosomal RNA", at positions 338 to 795 of the family's 1533-position model. The record is from RNAcentral.